Molecule: ribosomal RNA, 246 nt
Filed under: uncultured bacterium
Lineage: Bacteria
Description: partial 16S ribosomal RNA
Rfam family: Bacterial small subunit ribosomal RNA
Source: RNAcentral
AUACGUAGGGGGCGAGCGUUAUCCGGAUUUAUUGGGCGUAAAGCGUGUGUAGGCGGUUUAUUAAGUCCGAGAUGAAAGGCUAUGGCUUAACCAUAGUUUGUUUCGGAAACUGGUAGACUAGAGUGCAGUAGAGGCAAAUGGAAUUCAUAGUGUAGCGGUGGAAUGCGUAGAUAUUAUGAGGAACAUCAGUGGCGAAGGCGAUUUGCUGGGCUGUUACUGACGCUGAGACACGAAAGCGUGGGGAGC